UUUAAUAUGAACCUACGUUGUCCGCUAGAAGUACUAGUGGACUGGCUUAAUGAAAUUUUUAGACAAAAAUGUCCCCAAAUCUUACUAGCAGAUGCAUAUCCAUUGAAAAAACGAAUUGGGAAAAAACACAGCAGAACCGAAGUCGAUUUCUGCUCUUCUCAUCAUCUCUAAAAUCUAGCGUUGCUGCAAUUUUUCCCAAUUUCUCAUAAACCCUAGUUUGCAAUUUAGUGCAGAUCGGUAGCAUAUAGCAUCUACAGAAUUUAAUCGAUUGCUCUGUAAAUCGGUUGUAAAUUGGGGAAAUUGUUCGUUGUUCGUCCAUGACUAACAGUUGAAGAAAUUGGUUUAUAUCCGGAGAAAAAAGAAAGGGAGAGAUUAUGGCGUUUGAUAUAAGUCGGUGGCGGAGGCAACAUCUAGGGAAGUUAGAGCUCUGUUCAGCACUACCGUCUUUAGAUACAUAUAUGCAAGACCAAAUACCAAGCCAAAGUUCAAGGAGCUGAUAAUCAUCAAGUCAAAUACAAGUUUAUUUCUUUAUAUAGUACCUCUUCUGUCUAAUCAUGGUAUUAUAUUGGACAAAUUCUCUCUCCUUUUUAUGUGAAUUAUUGGGUUGAUUUGGAUCUGGGUUAAGAAUUUUUGCUCACCUUUCUCAAUAAACUACGAGAGCCUUUUUGAUUUUGAUUUUUUUAAUUAAAAAAAUCAUAUAUACAAGUGGGUGAUGAAUGAUGAUAAGAAUGUUAAUGGAUUUUUUUUUCUAUUUUAAAUUUCAUGUUUUUACCCAUGUGUGUGUCCGCUUAUGUGCCUAAAUUCUUUACCCAUGUGUGUGCGCUUAUUUUGAAUUUGGAAUCUCUUUUAUGAAAUUGAGUAGUUGUAUAUGCUAUAGAUCG
Molecule: long non-coding RNA, 881 nt
Filed under: Panax ginseng (ginseng)
Lineage: Eukaryota; Viridiplantae; Streptophyta; Magnoliopsida; Apiales; Araliaceae
Description: long non-coding RNA (PGIN_LNC015819)
Source: RNAcentral